Molecule: ribosomal RNA, 539 nt
Filed under: Ascomycota sp. ARIZ PAMan2-15
Lineage: Eukaryota; Fungi; Ascomycota
Description: eukaryotic LSU rRNA
Rfam family: 5.8S ribosomal RNA (bases 186-339)
Source: RNAcentral
UGUCGUAACAAGGUUUCCGUAGGUGAACCUGCGGAAGGAUCAUUACCUAGAGUUGUAGGCUUUGCCUGCUAUCUCUUACCCAUGUCUUUUGAGUACCUUACGUUUCCUCGGCGGGUCCGCCCGCCGAUUGGACAAUUUAAACCAUUUGCAGUUGCAAUCAGCGUCUGAAAAAACUUAAUAGUUACAACUUUCAACAACGGAUCUCUUGGUUCUGGCAUCGAUGAAGAACGCAGCGAAAUGCGAUAAGUAGUGUGAAUUGCAGAAUUCAGUGAAUCAUCGAAUCUUUGAACGCACAUUGCGCCCCUUGGUAUUCCAUGGGGCAUGCCUGUUCGAGCGUCAUUUGUACCUUCAAGCUCUGCUUGGUGUUGGGUGUUUGUCUCGCCUCUGCGUGUAGACUCGCCUCAAAACAAUUGGCAGCCGGCGUAUUGAUUUCGGAGCGCAGUACAUCUCGCGCUUUGCACUCAUAACGACGACGUCCAAAAGUACAUUUUUACACUCUUGACCUCGGAUCAGGUAGGGAUACCCGCUGAACUUAAGCA